Molecule: ribosomal RNA, 497 nt
Filed under: uncultured bacterium
Lineage: Bacteria
Description: partial 16S ribosomal RNA
Rfam family: Bacterial small subunit ribosomal RNA
Source: RNAcentral
GACGAACGCUGGCGGCGUGCCUAAUACAUGCAAGUUGAGCGCUGAAGGUUGGUACUUGUACCAACUGGAUGAGCAGCGAACGGGUGAGUAACGCGUGGGGAAUCUGCCUUUGAGCGGGGGACAACAUUUGGAAACGAAUGCUAAUACCGCAUAAAAACUUUAAACACAAGUUUUAAGUUUGAAAGAUGCAAUUGCAUCACUCAAAGAUGAUCCCGCGUUGUAUUAGCUAGUUGGUGAGGUAAAGGCUCACCAAGGCGAUGAUACAUAGCCGACCUGAGAGGGUGAUCGGCCACAUUGGGACUGAGACACGGCCCAAACGCCUACGGGAGGCAGCAGUAGGGAAUCUUCGGCAAUGGACGAAAGUCUGACCGAGCAACGCCGCGGGAGUGAAGAAGGUUUUCGGGUCGUAAAACUCUGUUGGUAGAGAAGAACGUUGGUGAGAGUGGAAAGCUCAUCAAGUGACGGUAACUACCCAGAAAGGGACGGCUAACUACGUG